GAGGCAGCAGUGGGGAAUUUUGGACAAUGGGGGCAACCCUGAUCCAGCAAUGCCGCGUGUGUGAAGAAGGCCUUCGGGUUGUAAAGCACUUUUGUCCGGAAAGAAAACUUCUGGGUUAAUACCCUGGGAGGAUGACGGUACCGGAAGAAUAAGCACCGGCUAACUACGUGCCAGCAGCCGCGGUAAU
Molecule: ribosomal RNA, 187 nt
Filed under: uncultured Burkholderia sp.
Lineage: Bacteria; Pseudomonadati; Pseudomonadota; Betaproteobacteria; Burkholderiales; Burkholderiaceae
Description: partial 16S ribosomal RNA
Rfam family: Bacterial small subunit ribosomal RNA
Source: RNAcentral